RNAcentral lists this ribosomal RNA (610 nucleotides) under uncultured beta proteobacterium. RNAcentral describes it as "bacterial SSU rRNA". It matches the Rfam family "Bacterial small subunit ribosomal RNA", at positions 69 to 679 of the family's 1533-position model. Lineage: Bacteria; Pseudomonadati; Pseudomonadota; Betaproteobacteria. The record is from RNAcentral.
GUAACAGGUCUUCGGACGCUGACGAGUGGCGAACGGGUGAGUAAUACAUCGGAACGUGCCCAGUCGUGGGGGAUAACUACUCGAAAGAGUAGCUAAUACCGCAUACGAUCUGAGGAUGAAAGCGGGGGACCUUCGGGCCUCGCGCGAUUGGAGCGGCCGAUGGCAGAUUAGGUAGUUGGUGGGAUAAAAGCUUACCAAGCCGACGAUCUGUAGCUGGUCUGAGAGGACGACCAGCCACACUGGGACUGAGACACGGCCCAGACUCCUACGGGAGGCAGCAGUGGGGAAUUUUGGACAAUGGGGGAAACCCUGAUCCAGCCAUCCCGCGUGUGCGAUGAAGGCCUUCGGGUUGUAAACCGCUUUUAGCCGGGAAGAAAAGGCCAUCCCUAACAGGGGUGGUUUUUGACGGUACCGGCGGAAUAAGCACCGGCUAACUACGUGCCAGCAGCCGCGGUAAUACGUAGGGUGCGAGCGUUAAUCGGAAUUACUGGGCGUAAAGCGUGCGCAGGCGGUAAUGUAAGACAGGUGUGAAAUCCCGGGCUUAACCUGGGAACUGCAUUUGUGACUGCAUUGCUGGAGUGCGCAGAGGGGAUGGAAUUCCGCGUGUACA